This 395-nucleotide ribosomal RNA is filed under the name uncultured bacterium. RNAcentral's name for it is "partial 16S ribosomal RNA". It matches the Rfam family "Bacterial small subunit ribosomal RNA", at positions 523 to 918 of the family's 1533-position model. The record is from RNAcentral.
AUACGUAGGGGGCGAGCGUUAUCCGGAAUUAUUGGGCGUAAAGAGUACGUAGGCGGUUCUGUAAGCGUGAGGUGAAAGCCCGGGGCUUAACUCCGGUAAGCCUUUCGAACUGCAGGACUUGAGUGCUGGAGGGGAAAGUGGAAUUCCUAGUGUAGCGGUGAAAUGCGUAGAUAUAAGGAAGAACACCAGUGGCGAAGGCGGAUUACUGGACGACAACUGACGGUGAGGCGCGAAAGCGUGGGGAGCAAACAGGAUUAGAUACCCUGGUAGUCCACGCUGUAAACGAUCAAUACUAGGUGUGCGGGGACUGACCCCCUGCGUGCCGCAGUUAACACAAUAAGUAUUGCACCUGGGGAGUACGAUCGCAAGGUUGAAACUCAAAUGAAUUGACGGGG